GAUGAACGCUAGCGGGAGGCCUAACACACGCAAGCCGAGCGGUAUUGUUUCUUCGGAAAUGAGAGAGCGGCGUACGGGUGCGUAACACGUGUGCAACCUGCCUUUAUCUGGGGGAUAGCCUUUCGAAAGGAAGAUUAAUACUCCAUAAUAUAUUGAACGGCAUCGUUUAAUAUUGAAAGCUCCGGCGGAUAGAGAUGGGCACGCGCAAGAUUAGCUAGUUGGUGAGGUAACGGCUCACCAAGGCGAUGAUCUUUAGGGGGCCUGAGAGGGUGAUCCCCCACACUGGUACUGAGACACGGACCAGACUCCUACGGGAGGCAGCAGUGAGGAAUAUUGGUCAAUGGGUGCAAGCCUGAACCAGCCAUCCCGCGUGAAGGACGACUGCCCUAUGGGUUGUAAACUUCUUUUGUAUAGGGAUAAACCUACCCUCGUGAGGGUAGCUGAAGGUACUAUACGAAUAAGCACCGGCUAACUCCGUG
Molecule: ribosomal RNA, 479 nt
Filed under: uncultured bacterium
Lineage: Bacteria
Description: partial 16S ribosomal RNA
Rfam family: Bacterial small subunit ribosomal RNA
Source: RNAcentral